This 300-nucleotide ribosomal RNA is filed under the name uncultured bacterium. Its description in RNAcentral is "bacterial SSU rRNA". It matches the Rfam family "Bacterial small subunit ribosomal RNA", at positions 32 to 321 of the family's 1533-position model. The record is from RNAcentral.
AAUCAACGCUGGCGGCGUGCCUCAGACAUGCAAGUCGAACGAUUAAAGCUCUCUUCGGAGAGUGUAUAGAGUGGCGCACGGGUGAGUAACACGUAAGUAAUCUGCCUUUGAGUGGGGAAUAACAAUCGGAAACGAUUGCUAAUACCGCAUAAUGCAGCGGCAUCGCAAGAUGACAGUUGUUAAAGGAGCAAAUCCGCUUAAAGAGGAGCUUGCGGCAGAUUAGCUUGUUGGUAAGGUAACGGCUUACCAAGGCUACGAUCUGUAUCCGGUCUAAGAGGACGGUCGGACACACUGACACUG